Molecule: ribosomal RNA, 458 nt
Filed under: uncultured bacterium
Lineage: Bacteria
Description: partial 16S ribosomal RNA
Rfam family: Bacterial small subunit ribosomal RNA
Source: RNAcentral
CCUACGGGAGGCAGCAGUGAGGAAUAUUGGUCAAUGGGCGAGAGCCUGAACCAGCCAAGUCGCGUGAGGGAGUACUGCCCUAUGGGUUGUAAACCUCUUUUGUCGGGGAGCAAAAGCCGGACGUGUCCGGCUGUGAGAGUACCCGAAGAAAAAGCAUCGGCUAACUCCGUGCCAGCAGCCGCGGGAAUACGGAGGAUGCGAGCGUUAUCCGGAUUUAUUGGGUUAAAAGGGUGCGCAGGCGGAUUUUUAAGUCAGCGGUAAAAUCGUGGGGCUCAACCCCAUCCAGCCGUUGAAACUGGGGAUCUAGAGUGUGCGAUAGGUAUGCGGAAUGCGUGGUGGAGCGGUGAAAUGCAUAGAUAUCACGCAGAACCCCGAUUGCGAAGGCAGCAUACCGGUGCACAACUGACGCUCAGGCACGAAAGCGUGGGUAUCGAACAGGAUUAGAUACCCCUGUAGUC